This 815-nucleotide ribosomal RNA is filed under the name uncultured marine bacterium. RNAcentral's name for it is "bacterial SSU rRNA". It matches the Rfam family "Bacterial small subunit ribosomal RNA", at positions 68 to 866 of the family's 1533-position model. The record is from RNAcentral.
AGAAAGUUUUCUUCGGAAAUUAUUAAACUGGCGAACGGGUGAGUAACGCGUAGGCAACCUGCCCUAAUGAUUGGGAUAACACCGGGAAAACUGGUGCUAAUACCGGAUACUGCAACAACACCUUCGGGUGUAGUUGUCAAAGCGGGCUUCGGCUCGCGCUUUAGGAUGGGCCUGCGUCCGAUUAGCUUGUUGGUAAGGUAACGGCUUACCAAGGCAAUGAUCGGUAGCUGGUUUGAGAGGAUGAUCAGCCACACUGGGAUUGAGAUACGGCCCAGACUCCUACGGGAGGCAGCAGUAGGGAAUUUUGCGCAAUGGGGGAAACCCUGACGCAGCAACGCCGCGUGACCGAUGAAGCAUUUAGGUGCGUAAAGGUCUGUCGUAAGGGAAGAAAAGUUCGGAUGUAAAUAAUGUUCGAAUCUGACGGUACCUUACAAGAAAGCACCGGCUAACUUAGUGCCAGCAGCCGCGGUAAUACUAGGGGUGCAAGCGUUGUCCGGAAUCACUGGGCGUAAAGGGUCCGUAGGCGUUUCAAUAAGUCAUUUGUGAAAGACACCGGCUUAACCGGUGGCCCGCAUUUGAAACUGUUGAAAUAGAGUAUAGGAGAGGAAAGUGGAAUUCCUGGUGUAGCGGUGACAUGCGUAGAUAUCAGGAGGAACACCAAUGGCGAAGGCAGCUUUCUGGCCUAUUACUGACGCUGAGGGACGAAAGCGUGGGGAGCGAACAGGAUUAGAUACCCUGGUAGUCCACGCCGUAAACGAUGAGUACUUGGUGUCGGGGGAAUCGACCCCUCGGUACCGGAGCUAACGCAUUAAGUA